Triticum dicoccoides is the source of this 3209-nucleotide long non-coding RNA. RefSeq lists it as uncharacterized. The transcript has 3 exons. NCBI's taxonomy places the organism in Eukaryota, Viridiplantae, Streptophyta, Magnoliopsida, Poales, Poaceae. The record is from RefSeq and is a predicted model, not a curated record.
ACCAACCAUCCCACACCACCCACUACCCCUCGUCUGUCUAAAGAAACACCACGCAGCCCGAUCCAGAUCCCCAACCUCCUCGCCUCUCCCAACCCACUCGCCGCCGGCCUCCCUUCCACCUCCUCUCCUCUGUUCGUCCACCCCCAUGCCCCCCUCCGCGUGCGCCAUGUCGGCGGCCGCGCGCCCGCCGCUCCACGUCUCGCGCAGCUGCACGCCUCUGCCGUCGGUUCGUCACCCCCGCGCUCCACUCGACACACUCCGAUUCGGACAGCCGCUGCUGGCACUCCAACAGAUCCGCCCGGCUGGCCGGCGGAGGCGAAGCGGCGACCAUGGAGGAGGAGCUGCAUGCGCUGCUCCGCGACCUUGACACGCUCAAGAAGCUCCCCGACCCGGUCUCCAUCGACCGGAUGCGAGAUCACGUGGUGAAGAUGAUGGCCUGUCCGGCGCCGCUGCUGCCACCUGAUCGAAGAUCAAGGACAUGAGCGCGGAGGCUGUGGACAGCGAAACCUAUAGCAGGCUCAUGGCACUGCAGCGAAUGGGGAUCGUCGAGAACUACGAGUGCAUCCACGACAACUCUGUCACCAUUGUGGUAAGCAUCUCACUCUUAUCUGGCUGUGAGGCGUUACUUAGAAAGCAAUUCGAGUUGGCAAUUGGCAUUGAGCAGACCUGUAACUUUCCUCUUUGAGUAGAGGACGUUAGUUGGUAUACUGUGAAGUUCUCAGAUGGAAAUCAUGGAUCAAGCAAAUAUGUAAAGGGUAGUGAGUAGAUGGAGUGUAGAUGAUUACUCUUCACUUGUGUCUUUGCAUACUAGGAUUUCCUUGAUGAAAUAUCAUGGUCAACAACAUGUACGCAACCCCACAGGAGUUUGAUGUCAAUGCAGUAAUUGCCACAUAAUCAGAUAAUACCUGUACAAGGUUGGGGAGGCACGGUCAGCGUUGGUGUUCUAGUGCAGGUCGCCGGAGCCAGAAGAGAGGAGAUGUCGUCACGUAGAGCUCAUGGGGAUAGGGCAGCCACCACUAUCGCCUCCCGCGACGACAGAGCAAAGGUGAGGAUGCUUGACUUUCGAAACUGAAAAUUGAGAUCUGCUUGUGAAACUGAACAACUGAGAUCUCCUUGUAAACAUAGCUUGAAGAUCAAGGCUAUUAUUGUGAAGUUCUCAAGGUGAUGAGCUUACUCGAGUGCUUUCCCUGGAGACUUUGCAUUUCCAGCUGACUUCUUGGAGAUUUUGAAACUGCUUGUACUGUCAUAAUUUUCAGUUUGUAAAACCAAGAAGUGUAUUUUUUCCAUUUUGAAACAAAGAUCUGCUUGCACUAUCAUACAGUAAUUUUCAGUUUGUAAAGCUGAGAAAUGUAUUUUCUAUUUGGAAACUGAGAUCUUCUUGUACUGUCAUAGUUUUCAGUUUGUAAAAUUGGAGUACUGCAGAUUUUACUACCAAAACUGUAUCCACUAUAAAAACUAAAAUAAAAUAAGCACUGUCACUGUGAUGCUUUGACUAAAAUAAAAUAAGGUUUAUCACUAUCAAAAUUUUCUAAAUGGCCAUCAAGCAAUGAAAUUUGGCUGGUCUCACAGAUUUAUGGGAUCUCCACAGCUUCUGUAGCUUCUGCAGACUUGAUUCACUAAAUUCACUAAAGCAUGGAGUAGAGAUUUAUGUGCAUCUUCUUUGUUGGCAUCUUCUUUGCUUAUGGAAGGAUGUACAGUAUGGAGUAUGGAGUACUUCAUUUCUGUGAAUGCAAGGCUUGGCAGUAGAGAUUUGUGCAACUUUUUCAGUACAGUGUAGGAGUAAGAUUUUUCUAUUCAUCUUUUAAUAGGAGUACUUCAAUGCACUUCAUCCAAGGACGAUGCAAGCCAUUUACCAGAAAGCAGAAGUAGAUUUUGGUAGCUAAAGAAAACCUUUGCCUGCUUCCAGAUUUGUGUAUACAUCUACUGAAGCAAACAAAUGUAGUACUAGUGCUAGUGCUUCCAAAAUUUGAGUACACCAGUGCAUAUUCACUCCUAUAGACAAAAGACUGUUGUAGACUCCAAUUUUAAGUGUGUUUUUGGUAAGUAAAUAAAAUCUUUGCCUGCUUCCAGAUUUGGAGUACAAAGACAAAAGACUACUAUAAGUACAUGCACAUUCUUCGGUUCCUCUUCCAUGAUAUACAUAUCGAUAAAUGAAGUGAUUGUGCUCCAACUUUGUAAGAAGAUGUUCAGAGACCCAUGUAGAAUGAUGUUUACAUUACUCCUAUAGACAGAGAGUGAUGUACUCCUUGUAUUCAUGUCUACAGUAAGAAGCAGAUAAUGCACCUUGCCAGCUGCUCUUUCCUUUGCUUUACCCUACAUUUUCUUUUCUUGGCUAUGACUAUAAAUUGAAAGUGUCAUUGCCAACUAACCAAAGCCAGCCAUGUUUAAAGAAUAAAUGUAAGCUUAACACACAACCAAAGCAAGCCAUGUUUAAUUAGCCAUAUUUGGAUGACUGAUGGAAAAUGUGGGCUGCAGGCUACACUUGCCUCCUUUAUUUGUCUCUUUUAUUUCAGUUGAGUCCUAAAUUUGAAAUUCUAGUGAUUCCUCAAAUUCUGCUAUACUGUUUAACUGAAUCAAUCUUGUGUUGUUAAUUUCUGUAAUUUGAGGUGAGGAGUACCUGCCUGGAGUGGUGUGUGCUGCAAUGACCAGGCGCGGGGGCAACGACGAUCUGUCUGGGCAGCGGGGAAGGACGCUAGGGCCACGGCGACAAGACUGGGGCGGAGGAGGUUGGGCCUGCUGCUGGCGACGGGGAUGAGCAACUGGACAACAGGGAGGAGCCUGGUGGAGGUCCUGUUGGUGGAGGGUGGAGGAGGGGCCUGCUACUGAUGACAGGGAUGAGCAGCUGGACGACAGGGAGGAGCCUGGCGGAGGCUCCGGCUGGUGGAGGGCGGCGGAGGAGGAGGAGGAUGGGCUUGCCGCUGGUCUGGACGAGCAGCUGGAGGAGGAGGAGGGGCCUGCUGCUGGCCUGGAUGCGUUGCCCUGGAGGAAGACAACGAGGAAGACGAUGAUCUGAUUUCAAGUUAGGGGUAGUUCUGUACUUUCGUUCGUUCUCACCUGGUCGGAGAUUUCUCCUAGCGAUAAUUAUUUCGGAACACAGGGAGUAGUUGCUUAUGUAAAUGUGCGAUAGAAUGAAAUUAUACAUGAGUUGCUGCUACAAUGAGCAACUGGAGAAGAUACAACACGUGAUAUAAUGAAUUUGGUUGAUUUUA